AGAGUUUGAUCAUGGCUCAGAUUGAACGCUGGCGGCAUGCUUUACACAUGCAAGUCGAGCGGCAGCGCGGGGGCAACCCUGGCGGCGAGCGGCGAACGGGUGAGUAAUACAUCGGAACGUGUCCCGUAGUGGGGGAUAACCCGGCGAAAGCCGGACUAAUACCGCAUAUGCUCUACGGAGGAAAGUGGGGGACCCGCAAGGGCCUCACGCCAUGGGAGCGGCCGAUGUCCGAUUAGCUUGUUGGUGAGGUAAAGGCUUACCAAGGCGACGAUCGGUAGCUGGUCUGAGAGGAUGAUCAGCCACACUGGGACUGAGACACGGCCCAGACUCCUACGGGAGGCAGCAGUGGGGAAUUUUGGACAAUGGGGGCAACCCUGAUCCAGCCAUGCCGCGUGCGGGAAGAAGGCCUUCGGGUUGUAAACCGCUUUUGUCCGGGAAGAAAAGGCACCCCCUAAUACGGGAUGCUCUUGACGGUACUGGAAGAAUGAGCACCGGCUAACUACGUGCCAGCAGCCGCGGUA
Molecule: ribosomal RNA, 521 nt
Filed under: uncultured Actinomycetes bacterium
Lineage: Bacteria; Bacillati; Actinomycetota; Actinomycetes
Description: bacterial SSU rRNA
Rfam family: Bacterial small subunit ribosomal RNA
Source: RNAcentral